This 382-nucleotide ribosomal RNA is filed under the name uncultured bacterium. RNAcentral describes it as "bacterial SSU rRNA". It matches the Rfam family "Bacterial small subunit ribosomal RNA", at positions 29 to 414 of the family's 1533-position model. The record is from RNAcentral.
AUUAAACGCUGGCGGCAUGCCUUACACAUGCAAGUCGAACGGCAGCACGGGGCAACCUGGUGGCGAGUGGCGAACGGGUGAGUAAAGCAUCGGAACGUGCCCUGGAGUGGGGGAUAACGUAGCGAAAGUUACGCUAAUACCGCAUAUUCUGUGAGCAGGAAAGCAGGGGAUCGCAAGACCUUGCGCUCUGGGAGCGGCCGAUGUCGGAUUAGCUAGUUGGUGGGGUAAAGGCCUACCAAGGCGACGAUCCGUAGCGGGUCUGAGAGGAUGAUCCGCCACACUGGGACUGAGACACGGCCCAGACUCCUACGGGAGGCAGCAGUGGGGAAUUUUGGACAAUGGGCGGAAGCCUGAUCCAGCCAUGCCGCGUGAGUGAAGAAGG